This 698-nucleotide ribosomal RNA is filed under the name uncultured cyanobacterium. RNAcentral's name for it is "partial 16S ribosomal RNA". The record is from RNAcentral. Lineage: Bacteria; Bacillati; Cyanobacteriota.
AGACACGAGCUGACGACAGCCAUGCACCACCUGUCUCUGCGCUCCCGAAGGCACCCCCCGAUUUCUCAGGGGUUCGCAGGAUGUCAAACCCUGGUAAGGUUCUUCGCGUUGCAUCGAAUUAAACCACAUACUCCACCGCUUGUGCGGGCCCCCGUCAAUUCCUUUGAGUUUCACACUUGCGUGCGUACUCCCCAGGCGGAACACUUAACGCGUUGGCUACGACACCGAGGGGGUCGAUUCCCCCGACACCUAGUGUUCAUCGUUUACGGCCAGGACUACAGGGGUAUCUAAUCCCUUUCGCUCCCCUGGCUUUCGUCCAUGAGCGUCAGUUAUGGCCCAGCAGAGCGCCUUCGCCACUGGUGUUCUUCCCGAUAUCUACGCAUUUCACCGCUACACCGGGAAUUCCCUCUGCCCCUACCACACUCAAGCCUUGUAGUUUCCAUCGCCGAAAUGGAGUUAAGCUCCACGCUUUAACGACAGACUUACAAGGCCGCCUGCGGACGCUUUACGCCCAAUAAUUCCGGAUAACGCUUGCCACUCCCGUAUUACCGCGGCUGCUGGCACGGAAUUAGCCGUGGCUUAUUCCUCAAGUACCGUCAGGUCUUCUUCCUUGAGAAAAGAGGUUUACAGCCCAGAGGCCUUCAUCCCUCACGCGGCGUUGCUCCGUCAGGCUUUCGCCCAUUGCGGAAAAUUCCCCA